CACCUUUAUACCUUCCUGGUACAUAUGACUUUGAACAAUUUUCAGGGAGAAAAAAAAAAAACAACAACGACAACAAAGAAAACCUAGACAAACAGCUCCUUUUCACCUUUACUACACAGGUGAGAAUCUCUCAAAGGAAAGGGAGCAAAAUGACUGCAAAGAAAGGAGGGAAGAUUCAUAUUGCUCGCUUCUGAACGCUUCAUUAUAUAUUCAAAUU
RNAcentral lists this long non-coding RNA (217 nucleotides) under Anas platyrhynchos platyrhynchos (common mallard). RNAcentral describes it as "lncRNA (ENSAPLG00000017641.1)". The record is from RNAcentral. Lineage: Eukaryota; Metazoa; Chordata; Aves; Anseriformes; Anatidae.